AAACCCAUGGUAGAACCCUUCGUUGCAAAAUCCAACUAGUGGAUGUCAAGAUCCAAGCACCAAGGAAGAGCUUCUUAAAUAUCAACUCAAUCGGGAUUGAAUUGACCGUCUGAUCGAGCCAAAAAUGGAUUGUUUGCAAAACCCUUUAAAGAAAGGAUUACUUCCUGUCCCUGUCUUUUCUCUUCUAUUCUUGUUUUCGUGCCCC
This 205-nucleotide long non-coding RNA is filed under the name Elaeis guineensis (African oil palm). Its description in RNAcentral is "long non-coding RNA (EGUI_LNC046500)". Lineage: Eukaryota; Viridiplantae; Streptophyta; Magnoliopsida; Arecales; Arecaceae. The record is from RNAcentral.